GUACAACCCCGCCCGUCACGUCACGAAAGUUGGUAACACCCGAAGCUCAUGGCCUAACCGCGUUUGUGGGGGGAGUGGUCGAAGGUGGGAUUAGCGAUUGGGACGAAGUCGUAACAAGGUAGCCGUACCGGAAGGUGCGGCUGGAUCACCUCCUUUCUAGGGAGCCCUGUUUUUGUGGGUGGCUGCUGUUGUGGUGGUUGCCUUUUUGUUUUGGGGUUUUCUGUGGGUUGUUGUGGGAAGUUGGCAUGCUGUUGGGGUUCGGGAUAAUUGGUUCCGUGCUGCCUGUGUCUGGAUGUCACUGUUUGUGUGGUGGUGUUUGGGUGUGGUGUUGGUGUGGUGGUUGAGAAUUGUAUAGUGGACGCGAGCAUCUUUGGUUUUUUUGUAAGUGUUUAAGAGCGUUCGGUGGAUGCCUUGGCAUGUAGAGCCGAUGAAGGACGUUGUAGCCUGCGAUAAGCCUCGGGGAGUUGGCAAACGAGCUGUGAUCCGAGGGUGUCCGAAUGGGGAAACCUGGCCAGAGUUAUGUCUGGUUACCUGCGUCUGAAUGUAUAGGGCGUGUGGGGGUAACGUCGGGAACUGAAACAUCUAAGGUAC
This 591-nucleotide unclassified non-coding RNA is filed under the name Arcanobacterium pluranimalium. Its description in RNAcentral is "contains 16S-23S intergenic spacer region". The stretch from base 380 to 591 matches the Rfam family "Bacterial large subunit ribosomal RNA", at positions 1 to 209 of the family's 2925-position model. Lineage: Bacteria; Bacillati; Actinomycetota; Actinomycetes; Actinomycetales; Actinomycetaceae. The record is from RNAcentral.